This 392-nucleotide ribosomal RNA is filed under the name uncultured bacterium. RNAcentral's name for it is "partial 16S ribosomal RNA". It matches the Rfam family "Bacterial small subunit ribosomal RNA", at positions 523 to 918 of the family's 1533-position model. The record is from RNAcentral.
AUACGGAGGAUCCGAGCGUUAUCCGGAUUUAUUGGGUUUAAAGGGUGCGCAGGCGGCCAUUUAAGUCAGCGGUUAAGUCGUGGGGCUCAACCCCAUUCUGCCGUUGAUACUGGGUGGCUUGAUUGCGGUCGAGGUUGGCGGAAUUCGUUGUGUAGCGGUGAAAUGCAUAGAUAUGACGAAGAACACCGAUUGCGUAGGCAGCAGACCAGACCGCAAAUGACGCUCAUGCACGAAAGUGCGGGGAUCGAACAGGAUUAGAUACCCUGGUAGUCCGCACAGUAAACGAUGAAUACUUGUUUUCGGCGAUACAAUGCCGGAGGCAAAGCGAAAGCGAUAAGUAUUCCACCUGGGGAGUACGCCGGCAACGGUGAAACUCAAAGGAAUUGACGGGG